RNAcentral lists this long non-coding RNA (260 nucleotides) under Pan troglodytes (chimpanzee). RNAcentral's name for it is "long non-coding RNA NONPTRT010133". Lineage: Eukaryota; Metazoa; Chordata; Mammalia; Primates; Hominidae. The record is from RNAcentral.
GAGUGGAUGUUGGCCAUUCAAUUUCUGAACGUUGGGCAGACUUUACAAAUAACAUUGGGGAGCAUUCUGAUCUGUUUUACUGGCCUUGCCUCAUAAUAUCUGAUUUUUCAUCUGUAAAGUGACUAUAAUGAUAAUAAUAUUCACUGUAUAGUUGCAAUGAGUACUCAGGAAGAGUGGUUUGUUACCUGCUUUUAUGAACUUCUCCCAAUGAGACUCUGUAAUCCAGCACAUGGACACUGUGUCCGCUAACAGGAUUUACC